CUGCAGAGAGGAGGACAGAGAACAGUUGACACACAGUUUAACAUGAUGGACUAUAGGACAGGACUGCUGCUUUUAACUCUCUGCUGGGCAGGUGUUGAUGGUCAGACUCUGACAGAAUCUGAACCAGCGAUUAAAAGACCUGGAGAAUCUCACAGAUUGACCUGUACAACAUCUGGAUUCACAUUCAGCAGCUACGCUAUGAACUGGGUCAGACAGGCUCCUGGAAAAGGACUGGAGUGGAUCGCUUUUGUACACACAGGCAGUUCUCAUCUCUAUUACUCCCAGUCAGUCCAGGGGAGAUUCACCAUCUCCAGAGAUGACUCCAGCAGUAAAGUCUAUCUGCAGAUGAACAGUCUGAAGACAGAGGACACAGCAGUGUAUUACUGUGCACGAGAGACACAGUGAGAGACGAUAAUAUGAGAGUCAUACAAAAACUACUUCCUCUAUUUACAAUCACCACUGGGAUCAUAUAGUUGACUCGGUAUUACUUUUUUUGUGCCAUACUGCUGAUAAGUACACAAGUACCACAAGUACAUG
Sander lucioperca (pikeperch) is the source of this 537-nucleotide non-coding RNA. NCBI's taxonomy places the organism in Eukaryota, Metazoa, Chordata, Actinopteri, Perciformes, Percidae. The record is from the annotation of a RefSeq genome assembly.